AUUGAACGCUGGCGGUAUGCUUAACACAUGCAAGUCGAACGGAAACGAUGCUAGCUUGCUAGCAGGCGUCGAGUGGCGGACGGGUGAGUAAUGUAUAGGAACAUGCCUAGUAGAGGGGGACAACUUAUGGAAACGUAAGCUAAUACCGCAUAAUCUCUACGGAGGAAAGUGGGGGAUCUUCGGACCUCACGCUAUUAGAUUGGCCUAUAUUAGAUUAGCUUGUUGGUAAGGUAAUGGCUUACCAAGGCGACGGUCUAUAGCUGGUCUGAGAGGAUGAUCAGCCACACUGGGACUGAGACACGGCCCAGACUCCUACGGGAGGCAGCAGUGGGGAAUAUUGGACAAUGGGCGCAAGCCUGAUCCAGCAAUACCGCGUGUGUGAAGAAGGCCUUAGGGUUGUAAAGCACUUUCAGUAGGGAGGAAAAGCUAAUUUUUAAUAGAUGUUAGCCGUGACGUUACCUACAGAAGAAGCACCGGCUAACUCCGUGCCAGCAGCCGCGGUAAUACGGAGGGUGCAAGCGUUAAUCGGAAUCACUGGGCGUAAAGCGCGCGUAGGUGGAUAUUUAAGUCAGAUGUGAAAUCCCUGGGCUCAACCUAGGAACUGCAUUUGAAACUGAAUAUCUAGAGUAUGGUAGAGGUAAGUGGAAUUUCAGGUGUAGCGGUGAAAUGCGUAGAGAUCUGAAGGAACAUCAGUGGCGAAGGCGACUUACUGGGCCAUUACUGACACUGAGGAGCGAAAGCGUGGGUAGCAAACAGGAUUAGAUACCCUGGUAGUCCACGCCCUAAACGAUGUCAACUAGGUGUAUGGGGGUUUAACCCUUGUGUAUCGAAGCUAACGCGAUAAGUUGACCGCCUGGGGAGUACGGUCGCAAGACUAAAACUCAAAUGAAUUGACGG
Molecule: ribosomal RNA, 897 nt
Filed under: uncultured Gammaproteobacteria bacterium
Lineage: Bacteria; Pseudomonadati; Pseudomonadota; Gammaproteobacteria
Description: bacterial SSU rRNA
Rfam family: Bacterial small subunit ribosomal RNA
Source: RNAcentral